GUGGGGAAUCUUAGACAAUGGGGGCAACCCUGAUCUAGCCAUGCCGCGUGAGUGAUGAAGGCCUUAGGGUCGUAAAGCUCUUUCGCUGGGGAAGAUAAUGACGGUACCCAGUAAAGAAACCCCGGCUAACUCCGUGCCAGCAGCCGCGGUAAUACGGAGGGGGUUAGCGUUGUUCGGAAUUACUGGGCGUAAAGCGCGCGUAGGCGGAUUGGAAAGUUGGGGGUGAAAUCCCGGGGCUCAACCCUGGAAUGGCAUUCAAAACUCCCAGUCUUGAGGUCGAGAGAGGUGAGUGGAAUUCCGAGUGUAGAGGUGAAAUUCGUAGAUAUUCGGAGGAACACCAGUGGCGAAGGCGGCUCACUGGCUCGAUACUGACGCUGAGGUGCGAAAGCGUGGGGAGCAAACAGGAUUAGAUACCCGGGUAGUCC
Molecule: ribosomal RNA, 425 nt
Filed under: uncultured bacterium
Lineage: Bacteria
Description: partial 16S ribosomal RNA
Rfam family: Bacterial small subunit ribosomal RNA
Source: RNAcentral